UACAGAGGGGGCAAGCGUUGUUCGGAAUUAUUGGGCGUAAAGAGCUCGUAGGCGGUCUGUCGCGUCUGCCGUGAAAACCCGAGGCUUAACCUCGUGGCUUGCGGUGGAUACGGGCAGACUAGAGGUAGGUAGGGGAGAAUGGAAUUCCCGGUGUAGCGGUGAAAUGCGCAGAUAUCGGGAAGAACACCCGUGGCGAAGGCGGUUCUCUGGGACGGUACUGACGCUGAGACGCGAAAGCAUGGGGAGCGAACAGG
This 254-nucleotide ribosomal RNA is filed under the name uncultured bacterium. RNAcentral describes it as "partial 16S ribosomal RNA". It matches the Rfam family "Bacterial small subunit ribosomal RNA", at positions 524 to 776 of the family's 1533-position model. The record is from RNAcentral.